This 1669-nucleotide ribosomal RNA is filed under the name Orectolobus japonicus (Japanese wobbegong). Its description in RNAcentral is "16S ribosomal RNA". It matches the Rfam family "Bacterial large subunit ribosomal RNA". The record is from RNAcentral. Lineage: Eukaryota; Metazoa; Chordata; Chondrichthyes; Orectolobiformes; Orectolobidae.
ACCUUAAAGCUAGCUUAUUCACCCACCUAAACUUAAUAUUAUAAAACACAAUUACAUUAAAGUAUUAUUAAAACAUUUUAAUAUCCUAAGUAUGGGCGACAGAAAAAGACAACAACGCAAUAGACUAAGUACCGCAAGGGAAAGCUGAAAAAGAAAUGAAAUAAAUCAUUAAAGUAUAAAAAAGCAGAGAUUUCAACUCGUACCUUUUGCAUCAUGAUUUAGCUAGAAAAACUAGGCAAAAAGGACUUUAAGUCUAUCCUCCCGAAACUAAACGAGCUACUCCGAAGCAGCACAAUUAGAGCCAACCCGUCUCUGUGGCAAAAGAGUGGGAAGACUUCCGAGUAGCGGUGAUAAACCUAUCGAGUUUAGUGAUAGCUGGUUACCCAAGAAAAGAACUUUAAUUCUGCAUUAAUCCUUUACCACUAAACAAGAACAUCUUACUAAAGCACAACAUAAGGGUUAAUAGUUAUUUAGAAGAGGUACAGCCCUUCUAAACUAAGAUACAACUUUCAAAGGUGGGUAAAGAUCAUAAUCAACAAGGUUUUCUCCUUCGUGGGCUUAAAAGCAGCCAUCUAAAAAGCAAGCGUCAUAGCUCCAGUAACACAAAAACCUAUAAUUUAGAUAUUUUACCAUAACCCCCUAAUUUAUAUUGGGUUAUUUUAUAUAAUUAUAAAAGAACUUAUGCUAAAAUGAGUAAUAAGAAGUUAAACUUCUCCCGACAUAAGUGUACAUCAGAAAGAAUUAAAUCACUGAUAAUUAAACGAACCCAAACUGAGGUAAUUAUAACAAUAAAUAAUUAACUAGAAAAUCCUAUCCAACUACUCGUUAACCUUACACAAGAAUGUCAUAAGGAAAGAUUAAAAGAAAGUAAAGGAACUCGGCAAACACAAACUCCGCCUGUUUACCAAAAACAUCGCCUCUUGCUCAAAUAUAAGAGGUCCAGCCUGCCCUGUGAUAAUAUUUUAACGGCCGCGGUAUCUUGACCGUGCGAAGGUAGCGUAAUCACUUGUCUUUUAAAUAAAGACCCGUAUGAAAGGCAUCACGAGAGUUUAACUGUCUCUACUUUCCAAUCAAUGAAAUUGAUCUACCCGUGCAGAAGCGGGUAUAAAAACAUUAGACGAGAAGACCCUAUGGAGCUUCAAACACUUAAAUUAAUUACAUUAACACAAAUAAUUCUAAGGACAUAAACAUAAAUAUAGUUCUCCUAAUUUAACAUGUUUUUGGUUGGGGUGACCAAGGGGAAAAAUAAAUCCCCCUGAUCGAUUGAGUAUUCACAUACUUAAAAAUUAGAAUGACAAUUCUAAACAAUAAAAUAUUUAUCGAAAAAUGACCCAGGAUUUACCUGAGCAAUGAACCAAGUUACCCUAGGGAUAACAGCGCAAUCCUUUCUCAGAGUUCUUAUCGACGAAAGGGUUUACGACCUCGAUGUUGGAUCAGGACAUCCUAAUGGUGCAACCGCUAUUAAGGGUUCGUUUGUUCAACGAUUAAUAGUCCUACGUGAUCUGAGUUCAGACCGGAGAAAUCCAGGUCAGUUUCUAUCUAUGAAAAAUUUUUCCUAGUACGAAAGGACCGGAAAAAUAGAGCCAAUACUACAAGUACGCUCUACUUUUAUCCAUUGAAAUAAACUCAAAUAGGUAAAAAGAAAUACCCUUAUCCCAAAAAAAGGGAA